Non-coding RNA from Pelobates cultripes (western spadefoot toad), 203 nucleotides. The record is from the annotation of a GenBank genome assembly. Lineage: Eukaryota; Metazoa; Chordata; Amphibia; Anura; Pelobatidae.
GGAGAGUUUGUAGCGGAAUACAGGGUGAGGUGAGAUCUUGAUCAUCGAUUGUCAGAUGAGUGAGAGUUAGUGUCGCUUGGUCUGUAGUCUUCUGUAAGAAUUUUCUAAAGCAUGGGAGGACACAACAAACGAGAAGAGCGAGAACAAAAAGGAAAAUUAGUACAGCCAUACCAUUAUGGACUAAAGCUUUCUGCCAACUUGAC